GGCCUCCCUCUUUGGGGUGAUCGAUCGUGGGGCUCCAGGAUCGAUCGCCCCAAAGAGGGAGGCC
Molecule: non-coding RNA, 64 nt
Organism: Myotis davidii
Lineage: Eukaryota; Metazoa; Chordata; Mammalia; Chiroptera; Vespertilionidae
Source: Rfam